Molecule: ribosomal RNA, 497 nt
Filed under: uncultured bacterium
Lineage: Bacteria
Description: partial 16S ribosomal RNA
Rfam family: Bacterial small subunit ribosomal RNA
Source: RNAcentral
GAUGAACGCUGGCGGCGUGCCUAAUACAUGCAAGUCGAGCGAACAGACGAGGAGCUUGCUCCUCUGACGUUAGCGGCGGACGGGUGAGUAACACGUGGAUAACCUACCUAUAAGACUGGGAUAACUUCGGGAAACCGGAGCUAAUCCCGGAUAAUAUAUUGAACCGCAGGGUUGAAUAGUGAAAGACGGUUUUGCUGUCACUUAUCGAUGGAUACGCGCCGCAUUAGCUAGUUGGUAAGUUAACGGCUUACCAAGGCAAGGAUGCGUGGCCCACCGGUGAGGGGGAUCGCCCACACGGGAGCUGGAACGCGGUCCUGGCGACUAAGGGAGGCCGCAGUAGGGAAUCUGCCGCAAUGGGCGAGAACAUGACGGAGCAGCGCGGCGUGAGUUAUGAAGGUCUUCGGUUCGUAAAACUCUGUUAUUAGGGAAAAACAAAUUUGUAAGUAACUAUGCACGUCGUGACGGUACCUGAUCAGAAAGCCACGGCUAACUACGUG